Molecule: ribosomal RNA, 757 nt
Filed under: uncultured cyanobacterium
Lineage: Bacteria; Bacillati; Cyanobacteriota
Description: bacterial SSU rRNA
Rfam family: Bacterial small subunit ribosomal RNA
Source: RNAcentral
AGAGUUUGAUCAUGGCUCAGGAUGAACGCUGGCGGUCUGCUUAACACAUGCAAGUCGAACGGAUGUUUUCGGACAUUAGUGGCGGACGGGUGAGUAACGCGUGAGAAUCUAGCUUCAGGUUGGGGACAACAGUUGGAAACGACUGCUAAUACCGAAUAUGCCGAGAGGUGAAAGAUUAAUUGCCUAAAGAAGAGCUCGCGUCUGAUUAGCUAGUUGGUGGGGUAAUGGCCUACCAAGCCGUUGACGGGUAGCUGGUCUGUGAGGACGAUCAGCCAGACUGGGACUGCGACACGGCCCAGACACCUACGGGUGGCAGCAGCGAGGAAUCUUCCACAAUGGGCGCAAGCCCGAUGGAGCAACGCCGCGUGGGGGAAGAAGGCUCUUGGGUUGUAAACCCCUUUUCUCUGGGAAGAAAGUUGUGAAAGCAACCUGACGGUACCAGAGGAAUCAGCAUCGGCUAACUCCGUGCCAGCAGCCGCGGUAAGACGGAGGAUGCAAGCGUUAUCCGGAAUGAUUGGGCGUAAAGCGUCCGCAGGUGGCAGUUCAAGUCUGCUGUCAAAGACCGGGGCUUAACUUCGGAAAGGCAGUGGAAACUGAACAGCUAGAGUAUGGUAGGGGCAGAGGGAAUUCCUGGUGUAGCGGUGAAAUGCGUAGAGAUCAGGAAGAACAUCGGUGGCGAAGGCGCUCUGCUGGACCAUAACUGACACUCAGGGACGAAAGCUAGGGGAGCGAAUGGGAUUAGAUACCCCCGUAGUCC